RNAcentral lists this unclassified non-coding RNA (183 nucleotides) under plant metagenome. RNAcentral's name for it is "partial contains small subunit ribosomal RNA and internal transcribed spacer 1". The stretch from base 1 to 46 matches the Rfam family "Eukaryotic small subunit ribosomal RNA", at positions 1786 to 1831 of the family's 1831-position model. The record is from RNAcentral.
AAGUCGUAACAAGGUUUCCGUUGGUGAACCAGCGGAAGGAUCAUUACAGAGUUCAUGCCCUUACGGGUAGAUCUCCCACCCUUGAAUAACUUACAUUGUUGCUUUGGCGGACGCUUCGGCAGCCGCCAGAGAACCCUAAACUCUUGUUUACAGUGUCGUCUGAGUACUAUAUAAUAGUUAAAA